GACGAACGCUGGCGGCGUGCUUAACACAUGCAAGUCGAACGGAAAGGCCCUGCUUUUGUGGGGUGCUCGAGUGGCGAACGGGUGAGUAACACGUGAGUAACCUGCCCUUGACUUUGGGAAAACUUCAGGAAACUGGGGCUAAUACCGGAUAGGAGCUCCUGCUGCAUGGUGGGGGUUGGAAAGUUUCGGCGGUUGGGGAUGGACUCGCGGCUUAUCAGCUUGUUGGUGGGGUAGUGGCUUACCAAGGCUUUGACGGGUAGCCGGCCUGAGAGGGUGACCGGCCGCAUUGAGACUGAGAUACGGCCCAGACUCCUACGGGAGGCAGCAGUGGGGAAUAUUGCACAAUGGGCGGAAGCCUGAUGCAGCAACGCCGCGUGCGGGAUGACGGCCUUCGGGUUGUAAACCGCUUUCGCCUGUGACGAAGCGUGAGUGACGGUAAUGGGUAAAGAAGCACCGGCUAACUACGUG
RNAcentral lists this ribosomal RNA (468 nucleotides) under uncultured bacterium. RNAcentral's name for it is "partial 16S ribosomal RNA". It matches the Rfam family "Bacterial small subunit ribosomal RNA", at positions 28 to 507 of the family's 1533-position model. The record is from RNAcentral.